Molecule: ribosomal RNA, 253 nt
Filed under: uncultured bacterium
Lineage: Bacteria
Description: partial 16S ribosomal RNA
Rfam family: Bacterial small subunit ribosomal RNA
Source: RNAcentral
UACGUAGGGUGCGAGCGUUAAUCGGAAUUACUGGGCGUAAAGCGUGUGCAGGCGGGCUAGCAAGUGGUGUAUGAAAGCUCCCGGCUCAACCGGGAAGGGUUAUGCCAGACUGCUAGUCUUGAGUGCGAGAGAGGAAUGUGGAAUUCCGGGUGUAGUGGUGAAAUGCGUAGAGAUCGUAAGGAAGACCAGUGGCGAAGGCGGGUCUCUGGACAGUUCCUGACGCUGAGGCACGAAGGUCAGGGGAGCAAACGGG